AGAGUUUGAUCAUGGCUCAGGAUGAACGCUAGCGGCAGGCCUAAUACAUGCAAGUCGAGGGGUAAGAGUCAGCUUGCUGACUACACGACCGGCGCACGGGUGAGUAACGCGUAUGCAACCUACCUUUAACAGAGGAAUAGCCCCGAGAAAUCGGGAUUAAUACCACAUAACAUUAUGAUAUGGCAUCAUAUUAUAAUUAAAACUCUGGUGGUUAAAGAUGGGCAUGCGUGACAUUAGCUUGUUGGUGAGGUAACUGCUCACCAAGGCAACGAUGUCUAGGGGUUCUGAGAGGAUGAUCCCCCACACUGGUACUGAGACACGGACCAGACUCCUACGGGAGGCAGCAGUAAGGAAUAUUGCGCAAUGGAGGAAACUCUGACGCAGCCAUGCCGCGUGCAGGAUUGAAGGCCUUAUGGGUCGUAAACUGCUUUUAUUUAGGAAUAAACUUUCGUACGUGUACGA
Molecule: ribosomal RNA, 462 nt
Filed under: uncultured marine bacterium
Lineage: Bacteria
Description: bacterial SSU rRNA
Rfam family: Bacterial small subunit ribosomal RNA
Source: RNAcentral